This 426-nucleotide ribosomal RNA is filed under the name uncultured bacterium. Its description in RNAcentral is "bacterial SSU rRNA". It matches the Rfam family "Bacterial small subunit ribosomal RNA", at positions 791 to 1216 of the family's 1533-position model. The record is from RNAcentral.
UAGUCCACGCCCUAAACGAUGGAUACUAGUCGUUGGAACUCCUAAUCGUUUCAGUGACGUAGCUAACGCGCUAAGUAUCCCGCCUGGGAACUACGGUCGCAAGAUUAAAACUCAAAGGAAUUGACGGGGCCCGCACAAGCGGUGGAGCAUGUGGUUUAAUUCGAUGCUACGCGAAGAACCUUACCUGGGCUUGACAUCCCGCGCUACCCUGUGAAAGCAGGGGUUCCCUUCGGGGACCCGGUGACAGGUGCUGCAUGGCUGUCGUCAGCUCGUGUUGUGAGAUGUUGGGUUAAGUCCCGCAACGAGCGCAACCCUCGCCCUUAGUUACCAGCAUUUAGUUGGGCACUCUAAGGGGACCGCUUGGCUAUAAGCCAGAGGAAGGUGGGGAUGACGUCAAGUCCUCAUGGCCUUUAUGUCCAGGGGCUA